GACGAACGCUGGCGGCGUGCCUAAUACAUGCAAGUAGAACGCAGUUGCGAACGGGUGAGUAACGCGUAGGUAACUGCCUCAUAGCGGGGGAUAACUAUUGGAAACGAUAGCUAAUACCGCAUACUGUGAGAUGGACCUGCGUUGUAUUAGGUAGUUGGUGAGGUAAAGGCUCACCAAGGCGACGAUACGUAGCCGACCUGAGAGGGUGAGAGGCCACACGGGGAGUGAGAAGCGGCCCAGAGGCGAACGGGAGGCAGCAGGAGGGAGGCUGUGGGGAGGGAGGGAAGGGUGACCGAGAUAGGCGGCUGGAGAGAAGAAGGGGUGCGGAUGGUAAAGCUCGGGUGUGAGAGAAGGGGUAACUAACCAGAAAGGGACGGCUAAGUACGUGCCGGCAGCCGCGGUAGUUC
Molecule: ribosomal RNA, 407 nt
Filed under: uncultured bacterium
Lineage: Bacteria
Description: partial 16S ribosomal RNA
Rfam family: Bacterial small subunit ribosomal RNA
Source: RNAcentral